This 292-nucleotide signal recognition particle RNA is filed under the name Saimiri boliviensis boliviensis (Bolivian squirrel monkey). RNAcentral's name for it is "Metazoan signal recognition particle RNA (ENSSBOG00000004200.1)". It matches the Rfam family "Metazoan signal recognition particle RNA". Rfam says of the family: The signal recognition particle (SRP) is a universally conserved ribonucleoprotein. It is involved in the co-translational targeting of proteins to membranes. The record is from RNAcentral. Lineage: Eukaryota; Metazoa; Chordata; Mammalia; Primates; Cebidae.
GCUGGGCGCGGUGGCUCGUGCCUGUAGUCCCAGCUACUCAGGAGGCUGAGGUGGGAGGAUCACUUGAGCCCAGGAGUUCUGUGCUGUAGUGCACUAUGCCGAUCGGGUGUCCGCACUAAGCUUGGCAUUAUGGUGACCUCCCGGGAGCUGGGGACUGCUUGCCUAAGGAGGGGUGAUCCAGCCCAGGUCGGAAACGGAACAGGUCAAAACUCCUGUGUGGAUCUGUAGUGGAAUCAUGCCUGUGAAUAGCCACUGCACUCCAGCCUGGGCAACAUAUCAAGGCCCCAUCUCA